UACAGAGGUCCCGAGCGUUGUUCGGAUUCACUGGGCGUAAAGGGUGCGUAGGUGGCGAGGUAAGUCGGAUGUGAAAGCUCGGAGCUCAACUCCGAAAUGGCAUUGGAAACUACCUUGCUCGAGGGUUGGAGGGGGGACUGGAAUUUACGGUGUAGCGGUGAAAUGCGUAGAUAUCGUAAGGAAGACCAGUGGCGAAGGCGGGUCUCUGGACAGUUCCUGACGCUGAGGCACGAAGGUCAGGGGAGCAAACGGG
RNAcentral lists this ribosomal RNA (253 nucleotides) under uncultured bacterium. RNAcentral's name for it is "partial 16S ribosomal RNA". It matches the Rfam family "Bacterial small subunit ribosomal RNA", at positions 524 to 776 of the family's 1533-position model. The record is from RNAcentral.